CUAACUACGUGCCAGCAGCCGCGGUAAUACGUAGGGGGCAAGCGUUAUCCGGAAUCACUGGGCGUAAAGGGUGCGUAGGCGGCUUAGCAAGCCAGGGGUGAAAGGCAUUGGCUCAACCAAUGUAAGCCUUUGGAACUGUUAAGCUUGAGUGCAGGAGAGGUAAGUGGAAUUCCUAGUGUAGAGGUGAAAUUCGUAGAUAUUAGGAGGAACACCAGUGGCGAAGGCGACUUACUGGACUGUAACUGACGCUGAUGCACGAAAGCGUGGGUAGCGAACAGGAUUAGAUACCCUGGUAG
RNAcentral lists this ribosomal RNA (296 nucleotides) under uncultured bacterium. RNAcentral's name for it is "partial 16S ribosomal RNA". It matches the Rfam family "Bacterial small subunit ribosomal RNA", at positions 497 to 793 of the family's 1533-position model. The record is from RNAcentral.